AGGGUUCGAUUCUGGCUCAGGAUGAACGCUAGCGACAGGCUUAACACAUGCAAGUCGAGGGGCAGCACGGGAGUAGCAAUACAACUGGUGGCGACCGGCGCACGGGUGAGUAACGCGUAUGCAACCUACCUAUCAGGAGGGGAAUAACCCGGCGAAAGUCGGACUAAUACCGCAUAAAACAGGGGCACCGCAUGGUGAUAUUUGUUAAGAAAUUCGCUGAUAGAUGGGCAUGCGUUCCAUUAGGUAGUUGGUGAGGUAACGGCUCACCAAGCCGACGAUGGAUAGGGGAACUGAGAGGUUGGUCCCCCACACUGGUACUGAGACACGGACCAGACUCCUACGGGAGGCAGCAGUGAGGAAUAUUGGUCAAUGGGCGAGAGCCUGAACCAGCCAAGUCCGCGUGAAGGAAGAAGGAUCUAUGGUUCGUAAACUUCUUUUGCAGGGGAAUAAAGUGCGGGACGUGUCCUGUUUUGUAUGUACCCUGAGAAUAAGGAUCGGCUAACUCCGUGCCAGCCGCCGC
This 520-nucleotide ribosomal RNA is filed under the name uncultured bacterium. Its description in RNAcentral is "bacterial SSU rRNA". It matches the Rfam family "Bacterial small subunit ribosomal RNA", at positions 8 to 518 of the family's 1533-position model. The record is from RNAcentral.